GUGGCGGAACUGGUAGACGCGCCAGGUUGAGGGCCUGGUGGAUGUAAAAUCCAUGGGGGUUCAAGUCCCCCCGUCCGCACCA
Molecule: transfer RNA, 82 nt
Filed under: Bacillota bacterium
Lineage: Bacteria; Bacillati; Bacillota
Description: tRNA-Leu
Rfam family: tRNA
About the family: Transfer RNA (tRNA) molecules are approximately 80 nucleotides in length. Their secondary structure includes four short double-helical elements and three loops (D, anti-codon, and T loops). Further hydrogen bonds mediate the characteristic L-shaped molecular structure. tRNAs have two regions of fundamental functional importance: the anti-codon, which is responsible for specific mRNA codon recognition, and the 3' end, to which the tRNAs corresponding amino acid is attached (by aminoacyl-tRNA synthetases). tRNAs cope with the degeneracy of the genetic code in two manners: having more than one tRNA (with a specific anti-codon) for a particular amino acid; and 'wobble' base-pairing, i.e. permitting non-standard base-pairing at the 3rd anti-codon position.
Source: RNAcentral